Molecule: ribosomal RNA, 208 nt
Filed under: uncultured bacterium
Lineage: Bacteria
Description: partial 16S ribosomal RNA
Rfam family: Bacterial small subunit ribosomal RNA
Source: RNAcentral
UGCGCAGGCGGUUUUAUAAGCCAGAUGUGAAAUCCCCGGGCUUAACCUGGGAACUGCAUUUGGAACUGUAAGACUAGAGUACGGCAGAGGGGGGUAGGAAUUCCACGUGUAGCAGUGAAAUGCGUAGAUAUGUGGAGGAAUACCGAUGGCGAAGGCAGCCCCCUGGGUCGAUACUGACGCUCAUGCACGAAAGCGUGGGGAGCAAACA